This 776-nucleotide ribosomal RNA is filed under the name uncultured Neocallimastigales. RNAcentral describes it as "partial large subunit ribosomal RNA". It matches the Rfam family "Eukaryotic large subunit ribosomal RNA", at positions 23 to 644 of the family's 3401-position model. Lineage: Eukaryota; Fungi; Neocallimastigomycota; Neocallimastigomycetes; Neocallimastigales. The record is from RNAcentral.
GAGACUCUGUGCGCGUGCAUAUCAAUAAGCGGAGAAAAGAAACUAACAAGGAUUCCCUUAGUAACGGCGAGUGAAGCGGGAAGAGCUCAAAUUUGAAAUCUCCAAGGUUCUACCUUGACGAAUUGUAGUUUAAAGAAGUGUUUUCUGUUAGAUGAGUAGCAAAAGUUCCUUGGAAUGGGACAUCAUAGAGGGUGAGAAUCCCGUAUUUGGUUAUUCAUUCUAGCUUUGUGAUAUCACUUUCAAAGAGUCGGAUUGUUUGGGAAUGCAGUCCAAAAUGGGUGGUAAAUUUCAUCUAAAGCUAAAUAUUGGCGAGAGACCGAUAGCGAACAAGUACCGUGAGGGAAAGAUGAAAAGAACUUUGAAAAGAGAGUUAAACAGUACGUGAAAUUGUCAAAAGGGAAGCGUUUGACACCAGUGUUGUUUUUCCGAAAAUCAAUUACGAAUGGCUUGAUUUUGUGUUGUAUUGACCUUAUCAGCUUUCUUCACUUUUUUCGAGUCUUUCUUAAUGCACUUUUCGGUUAACAAGUCAACAUCAAUUUCUUUUGUCGUAAAAGAGUAUUCGGAAGGUGGCUUUCUUUUCGGAGAAAGUGUUUAUAGCCCUAUACUUCUACAAUCGGAGAGAUUGAGGUCUGCAGCGUAGAUCCUUCGGGGUUAGAUACAUUGGUGCUAAGCUACAGCCUUGUCAUAGACAACUUGUUGACUAUGUUCAGUCAUUGUAGCUUACUCGCUGAUGCUAUUUUACCUACGCUUAGGAUGUUGACUGAUAUGUAGUCGUA